UCGGGAUAGCUCAGCUGGUAGAGCAAGA
This 28-nucleotide transfer RNA is filed under the name Hildebrandtia sp. Phillipson and Milijaona 3624. RNAcentral describes it as "partial tRNA-Phe". The record is from RNAcentral. Lineage: Eukaryota; Viridiplantae; Streptophyta; Magnoliopsida; Solanales; Convolvulaceae.